GCUUGGGGGCGUGCCUAUACAUGCAGUCGAACGCUUUGUGGUUCACUGAUUUGAAGAGCUUGCUCAGAUAUGACGAUGGACAUUGCCAAGAGUGGCCAACGGGUGAGUAACACGUGGGAAACCUACCUCUUAGCAGGGGAUAACAUUUGGAAACAGAUGCUAAUACCGUAUAACAAUGACAACCGCAUGGUUGUUAUUUAAAAGAUGGUUCUGCUAUCACUAACAGAUGGUCCCGCGGUGCAUUAGCUAGUUGGUAAGGUAAUGGCUUACCUAGGCGAUGAUGCAUACCCGAGUUGAGAGACUGAUCGGCCACAAUGGGACUGAGACACGGCCCAUGCUCCUACCGGAGGCAGGCCGAUGGAAUCUUCCACUCUGGGCGAAAGCCUGAUGGAGCAACGCCAUUAGUGUGAUGAAGGGUUUCGGCUCGUAAAAACCUUCUCUAAGAGAAGAAUGACCUUUCUAGUAACUGUUCACUGUGUGACUGUCUCUUACCUAAAAGGAACGGCUCAGUACCCGCCAGCUAUCCCCUGAAUACAUAUGUGCCUCCCACUAUCCAGAUUUCUUGGGCCCAAACUGAG
Molecule: ribosomal RNA, 578 nt
Filed under: Weissella confusa
Lineage: Bacteria; Bacillati; Bacillota; Bacilli; Lactobacillales; Lactobacillaceae
Description: bacterial SSU rRNA
Rfam family: Bacterial small subunit ribosomal RNA
Source: RNAcentral